GUUGUAUGGUUAAGUGACUAAGCGUACACGGUGGAUGCCUGGGCAGUCAGAGGCGAUGAAGGACGUACUAACUUGCGAUAAGCGCAGAUAAGGCAGUAAGAGCCGUUUGAGUCUGCGAUUUCCGAAUGGGGAAACCCAACUGCAUAAGCAGUUACUGUUAACUGAAUACAUAGGUUAACAGAGCAAACCGGGGGAACUGAAACAUCUAAGUACCCCGAGGAGAAGAAAUCAACCGAGAUUCCGGUAGUAGCGGCGAGCGAACCUGGAUUAGCCCUUAAGCACUCGGUGAAGUAGGUGAACAAGCUGGAAAGCUUGGCGAUACAGGGUGAUAGCCCCGUAACCGACGCUUCAUCGAGCGUGAAAUCGAGUAGGGCGGGACACGUGAUAUCCUGUCUGAAUAUGGGGGGACCAUCCUCCAAGGCUAAAUACUCCUGACUGACCGAUAGUGAACCAGUACCGUGAGGGAAAGGCGAAAAGAACCCCUGUGAGGGGAGUGAAAUAGAACCUGAAACCGUGUACGUACAAGCAGUAGGAGCACCUUCGUGGUGUGACUGCGUACCUUUUGUAUAAUGGGUCAGCGACUUAUAUUCAGUGGCAAGGUUAACCGUAUAGGGGAGCCGUAGCGAAAGCGAGUCUUAACUGGGCGCUCAGUCUCUGGAUAUAGACCCGAAACCGGGUGAUCUAGCCAUGGGCAGGUUGAAGGUUGAGUAACAUCAACUGGAGGACCGAACCGACUAAUGUUGAAAAAUUAGCGGAUGACUUGUGGCUAGGGGUGAAAGGCCAAUCAAACUCGGAGAUAGCUGGUUCUCCCCGAAAGCUAUUUAGGUAGCGCCUCGGACGAAUACUACUGGGGGUAGAGCACUGUUAAGGCUAGGGGGUCAUCCCGACUUACCAACCCUUUGCAAACUCCGAAUACCAGUAAGUACUAUCCGGGAGACACACGGCGGGUGCUAACGUCCGUCGUGGAGAGGGAAACAACCCAGACCGCCAGCUAAGGUCCCAAAGUAUUGCUAAGUGGGAAACGAUGUGGGAAGGCUCAGACAGCUAGGAUGUUGGCUUAGAAGCAGCCAUCAUUUAAAGAAAGCGUAAUAGCUCACUAGUCGAGUCGGCCUGCGCGGAAGAUGUAACGGGGCUAAGCA
This 1139-nucleotide ribosomal RNA is filed under the name Vibrio cholerae. Its description in RNAcentral is "partial 23S ribosomal RNA". It matches the Rfam family "Bacterial large subunit ribosomal RNA", at positions 1 to 1188 of the family's 2925-position model. Lineage: Bacteria; Pseudomonadati; Pseudomonadota; Gammaproteobacteria; Vibrionales; Vibrionaceae. The record is from RNAcentral.